GCCGGGUAAGGGGGUUAGUAACUGACAGCUCGGCCUCGCCACGAGAAGCCUCAAGUAGGUCAGGCUGUGUCAACCGUUUGAAAUCCAGAGUCCACCCCAGUGGGCUUAAGGGAGUAGAGCAGCAGGAGAAAUGAAUUACUACGGCAAACCAUCAAGUUAAUCUGACCCAGAUAGGAAAAUACAAGGAAUGAGAGGAAUUUGACCCAAGCAAGAGAUACAGGAAAAAUGCUGAUAUACUCAGAGUUCGAGGAAAUGCAAAUGGACUAACGCACUUGACAGUAAUUGGUAUUAUAGCUAAAAGUCAACUACUUUCGGAUGCCUUACUAUUAAACAGAGAGAUGUAGGAAGCCUCAGACAUGUGUUACCAUCCAUACACAAUAGUUGCAUACCUGAGUUUGAACAAAUGACGGCCUUUGUGUUCGCAUUUCCUGGAUCAAACUAAAAACACUGAAGUUCUCAGGAAUGAUCUAUCAAAUAAAAGAAAAAAAUAUCUUA
Long non-coding RNA from Suricata suricatta (meerkat), 495 nucleotides. RefSeq lists it as uncharacterized. NCBI's taxonomy places the organism in Eukaryota, Metazoa, Chordata, Mammalia, Carnivora, Herpestidae. The transcript has 3 exons. The record is from RefSeq and is a predicted model, not a curated record.